Molecule: ribosomal RNA, 710 nt
Filed under: uncultured marine bacterium
Lineage: Bacteria
Description: bacterial SSU rRNA
Rfam family: Bacterial small subunit ribosomal RNA
Source: RNAcentral
CGCAGUAAACGGUGAACACUAGGUGUAGCGGGUAUUGACCCCUGCUGUGCCGAAGCUAACGCAUUAAGUGUUCCGCCUGGGGAGUACGACCGCAAGGUUAAAACUCCAAAGGAAUUGACGGGGCCCGCACAAGCGGUGGAGCAUGUGGUUUAAUUCGACGCAACGCGAAGAACCUUACCUGGGCUUGACAUCCUGAGAAAGCCCUCGAAAGAGGGAAGUGCCCUUCGGGGAACUCGGAGACAGGUGCUGCAUGGCUGUCGUCAGCUCGUGUCGUGAGAUGUUGGGUUAAGUCCCGCAACGAGCGCAACCCUUAUCUUUAGUUACCAUCAUUUAGUUGGGGACUCUAAAGAUACUGCCCCGGUUAACGGGGAGGAAGGUGGGGAUGACGUCAAGUCCUCAUGGCCUUUAUGCCCAGGGCUACACACGUGCUACAAUGGGUUGUACAAAGGGUCGCGAUCCCGUGAGGGGGAGCCAACCCCAAAAAGCAGCCCUUAGUUCGGAUUGGAGUCUGCAACUCGACUUCAUGAAGCUGGAAUCGCUAGUAAUCGUGGAUCAGCAUGCCACGGUGAAUACGUUCCCGGGCCUUGUACACACCGCCCGUCACACCAUGAGAGUUGGUUGUACCAGAAGUUGUUGGACCAACCCUGCUCCGGCAGGGAGGCAGGCACCUAGGGUAUGGCUGAUGAUUGGGGUGAAGUCGUAACAAGGUA